Molecule: ribosomal RNA, 253 nt
Filed under: uncultured bacterium
Lineage: Bacteria
Description: partial 16S ribosomal RNA
Rfam family: Bacterial small subunit ribosomal RNA
Source: RNAcentral
UACGAAGGGGGCUAGCGUUGCUCGGAAUCACUGGGCGUAAAGCGCACGUAGGCGGGUCUUUAAGUCAGGGGUGAAAUCCUGGAGCUCAACUCCAGAACUGCCUUUGAUACUGAGGAUCUCGAGUCCGGGAGAGGUGAGUGGAACUCCGAGUGUAGAGGUGAAAUUCGUAGAUAUUCGCAAGAACACCAGUGGCGAAGGCGGCUUACUGGUCCGGUUCUGACGCUGAGGCGCGAAAGCGUGGGGAGCAAACAGG